GCCCGGUCGCCGCCGCGCCCACCAGCAGCCAGGCGGCCAGGCCAACCGGCGGCCUCCGGGGGAACAUGCUGCCCGCACGCCCCGCCGGGCCCAGGUGCUCUCUGCGCCCGCCGCGUGCCCGGAGGCGAGCGAGGCCUCGCUCAAGGGGCGAAAGGAACGAGCCCGGGAGGGCGCAGGCGACCUCCUGCCGAGCCCCCCUAGUUGGCCGGCCCCGAAGUCGUCUGACGCUCUAACAGGUCCUUCAUCUCUCGGCAGCAACCGCUGAGGAAGUCUCCUUUAGGGAAGAGAGUCGGACAUGGCACCGGCCGCGGGGGGCGGGCCCGCGACCGCUGCAGGAGGUGCUCCGCGGUUCCGGCCGGACAGCCCCGUCGGCCCCCUGCCUCCUCGGCGUCCUCAGGCCGGCGCCAGGGGCCUUGCUACAGAGCGCGCGGGAAGCGGCGAGGCUGGCGGCGAAGUCCCCAGCGUUCCGCGUCCACCACAUGCGCUGCCAGCUUGCAACCUACUCCGGUCUCUGCCGCCCGGCCCUGAUUGGGCGCGGCCCGGACUCCCGGUGCUGAUUGGCGGUGCCAAGUGCCCGUCACCGCCCCUUCGCGCGGCGCGCCGGGACCUCUAGCUAGCAAGCUGAGAAGAUCAAAGAGAAGACACUGGAGAUCAGCUGAGACAGAGAAGAAAGAAGAGAGUAACUUGAGGAGACAGACCUGGAAACAAACAAUGACGAGGCCAUGUCAUGAGUGUGCUAAUGGGGGUGUUAGACAAGGCUCUGUCAGGGACACCAGCGAGGGGAACCCCGACCCUGCGGGGGAGGGGAAAGCUUAGCAUGUGGGGCUUCACAAGCCCGGCAUCCUCUCCAUUUCUGGGAAACACUGUCUCAGCUGCUCAGCCUCCGUUUUCCCUUCUUUUAGUGAAAGUACUUUGAUUUCCUUUUCAUGGAACCACACCUCCCAUACCCACUCCCUCCUCUCAUCCAAGUGAUUCUAUUCCCAGCAUGGCGGGGCGGGGGGGGGGGGGGCGGUUGACAAUGACCCUAGACCAAGCCAGUCAGGGCAUCCGGUCCCUCUAACUGCAGGGACUCAUUCAGGAACAAGGUCAGUCCCAAGUUGGUCAAAUCAGAGUGAACCCUGGGACAUUUGUAAACUGCAGGGAAAGAGAGCUUGCUCUGUUUUCAGUUGAAAUUGGUGCUCUGAGGAAAGCCUGAAGCUAAGUAUCACCAUUAGGGAAAAGCCUGGCUGGGAAACGGAGCCAACUUCCAGAAGUGGAGCUGAAAGACUGAAGUGGUCAGGGGGCACCUGUGGAGCUCCUGAAUUCGCUGCAUUACAUGACUUAUCUGGUCCUAAGCCAGUAAAUUCCUUUCUUGCAUGA
Molecule: long non-coding RNA, 1359 nt
Organism: Balaenoptera ricei (Rice's whale)
Lineage: Eukaryota; Metazoa; Chordata; Mammalia; Artiodactyla; Balaenopteridae
Exons: 2
Source: RefSeq, a predicted model, not a curated record